Molecule: ribosomal RNA, 324 nt
Filed under: uncultured eukaryote
Lineage: Eukaryota
Description: partial 18S ribosomal RNA
Rfam family: Eukaryotic small subunit ribosomal RNA
Source: RNAcentral
CCCUUAGAUGUUCUGGGCCGCACGCGUGUUACACUGAUGCAUUCAUCAAGCGCCACACCUUGGCUCGGAAGGCCUCGGUAAUCUUGAAAGUGCAUCGUGCUAGGGAUAGAUUAUUGUAAUUUUUAAUCUUCAACGAGGAAUUUCUAGUAGGCGUCAGUCAUCAACUGGCACCGAUUACGUCCCUGCCCUUUGUACACACCGCCCGUCGCUCCUACCGAUCGAAGAGUUAGGUGAAUUGUUUUGAUCGAUAAGAUUUGACUAUGGUCAACUCUCGUUGUGAAAUUCUGUGAAUCUGACUGUUUAGAGGAAGGAAAAGUCGUAACA